GGACCCGCACCUAGAGAAGGGCUUCCCUUCGGGGGCAGAGUGACAGGUGGUGCAUGGUUGUCGUCAGCUCGUGUCGUGAGAUGUUGGGUUAAGUCCCGCAACGAGCGCAACCCUUGAUCUUAGUUGCCAGCAUUCAGUUGGGCACUCUAAGGUGACUGCCGGUGACAAACCGGAGGAAGGUGGGGAUGACGUCAAAUCAUCAUGCCCCUUAUGACCUGGGCUACACACGUGCUACAAUGGGCAGAACAAAGGGCAGCGAAGCCGCGAGGCUAAGCCAAUCCCACAAAUCUGUUCUCAGUUCGGAUCGCAGUCUGCAACUCGACUGCGUGAAGCUGGAAUCGCUAGUAAUCGCGGAUCAGCAUGCCGCGGUGAAUACGUUCCCGGGCCUUGUACACACAGA
RNAcentral lists this ribosomal RNA (400 nucleotides) under Bacillus sp. PDN16. RNAcentral describes it as "bacterial SSU rRNA". It matches the Rfam family "Bacterial small subunit ribosomal RNA", at positions 992 to 1393 of the family's 1533-position model. Lineage: Bacteria; Bacillati; Bacillota; Bacilli; Caryophanales; Bacillaceae. The record is from RNAcentral.